This 63-nucleotide ribosomal RNA is filed under the name Trichoderma harzianum. RNAcentral describes it as "partial 28S ribosomal RNA". Lineage: Eukaryota; Fungi; Ascomycota; Sordariomycetes; Hypocreales; Hypocreaceae. The record is from RNAcentral.
UUGACCUCGGAUCAGGUAGGAAUACCCGCUGAACUUAAGCAUAUCAAAAAAGGGGGGAAAAAA